AAAACGACGGCCAGUUGGUGCAUGGCCGUUCUUAGUUCGUGGAGUGAUUUGUCUGGUUAAUUCCGAUAACGAACGAGACUCAAAUUUCUUAAAUAGAUGCCGGCAGGGUUAUGAUGUUGAAACUUUAUAUGCACAAAAUCCUCUAUGCAUUUGAAUGUUUUCGGAUAUUUUUAUGUAUAUGGUUUUGUUGUACUGUAAAUGGAGUCGUACCUGGUGGUUUGUCCGAACAAGACACUUGCUUCUUAAAUGGACAAAUUGCGUCUAGCAAUAAUGAGAUUGAGCAAUAACAGGUCUGUGAUGCCCUU
This 305-nucleotide ribosomal RNA is filed under the name Tipulidae sp. BOLD:ABX1249. Its description in RNAcentral is "bacterial SSU rRNA". It matches the Rfam family "Eukaryotic small subunit ribosomal RNA", at positions 1278 to 1471 of the family's 1831-position model. Lineage: Eukaryota; Metazoa; Arthropoda; Insecta; Diptera; Tipulidae. The record is from RNAcentral.